UUUCCCAAAUUGAGAAACCCUAACCCUAAUGUUUCUCUUUCCUCAGCCACUGAACGCAGCCUCUACCCCCUUUUCUUCCUAAACACCACACACACACAAAAGAAGAAAGAAACGCAGAGAGAGAGAAGAGAGAGGGAAGAGCUCUUGCCCCGCCGCCGCCGUGACCGUCGCACUGCCACCGUUCAACUCCGCUCGCGCUGCCGCGCGUUCUGUCAUCAUCAGAGUCAUCGUCGUCGUUUGUGGAGCCGCGAGGAGCUCGCCGUCGAGCUGCUUUGCAGCGCCGUCCCGUCCAUAGAGCCGAGCCCGAGCCUGCUUCGUCACUGCCGUCGGGGUCUUCAUCGUCGCUGGUGCGGUCGGAGCCGCCGUCGUUGGAGAGAGAGCAAGCGCGAAUCUGAGAAAGGGAGAGAGAGAGAGAGAUACGACGCAACAGAGGAGGAAAGGAGAAGUCUUCUGUCAUCAACGCCACGCCUCUUCACCACUGCCGCCGCCGGAAUUUCUGGUUGCCGCCAUGAUUAAUGGUGAGUUAGUUAAACCCUAGCCAUGAGAACCACCAUCUUUGAACCUUUACUGCUCUGUAAAUACCCAGUAUCUACCCCUGAUGCUCUUGACUAUGUUAUGUUUGUUGGAGCUUGUCUCCAUGGAGCCACUGGCGGGGUGUUGCUGCUGCCGGAACCACCGCGUGGUGCUGCUAGGAAUCGCUGCUGCCCUGCUUCCGCUAUACUUAGGUUCAACAUCCAUUGGCCUGGAGCCGCUUCUGCUUUCGAUUCUAUUGAAUUUGAAAUCUUUGCUUCGUUGCAACCAUGAUCACUGUUGUGGGAGCUAACGCCGCUGCUAUCUUGAUUGAGACUGUUGCAUAGCUAGUAUUGGUCCAGCCAGCUGCCUCGCUAUAAUCCAGCCUCCGGGUUCUUUUAAUCGCGACAUCGAGUGACACAGGUUUGAAGACGCAAUUUGAAGCUGCAAGCGAUUAGUAGGCUUCCUUUAUGGUUUUAAUUGCUUUCAUAGAGUCCCAUCGCUCUUUUCCUUUGAAGUUUUAUUUUAUCAGAGGGGUAGGUAUUGUAUUUGGGUUUAUAUGACUUCCUAUGUAUAAGAAUUACUAAUAAUAAUACCUCUGUGAUUGUUAUUACUAUUUGCAAUGUUUAUCCUUGAUACAUGUCUUUAAUGAAUAAAAACAAAAUUUUCUGGCAUUUUCUUAAAACUGAAACGCGAAAUCGAUACAAAGGCUCAGUAAUUAAGUAGUUAAUAUUAGAAAAGGUCACGUAACGUUCUUUCUAGUAGAAAUACCCUUACUUAAGCAAGGUAUUUUGCUGGCAGGGAUGUUACACUUUGCCCGAGAUUUGAUGGCCCAAACCGGCGUUCCAAAUCAGCUCAAAACUGCCCGGCGUUAAACGCCGGAACUGGCACAAGAAUGGGAGUUAAAUGCCCAAACUGGCAUAAAAGCUGGCGUUUAACUCCAAGAAAAGUCUCUACACGAAAAUGCUUCAAUGCUCAGCCCAAGCACAUACCAAGUGGGCCCGGAAGUGAAUUUUUAUGUCAUUUGCUCAUUUCUGUAAACCCUAGGCUACUAGUUCUCUACAAAUAGGACCUUUUACUAUUGUAUUUUCAUCUUUGGAUCUUAGAUCAUCUUUAGAUCUUUGAAUCUUUUGAUCACAUUUUGGGGGCUGGCCUCACGGCCAUGCCUAGACCUUGUUCUUAUGUAUUUUCAACGGUGGAGUUUCUACACACCAUAGAUUAAGGUGUGGAGCUCUGCUGUACCUCGAGUAUUAAUGCAAUUACUAUUGUUCUUCUAUUCAAUUCAGCUUGUUCUUAUUCCAAGAUAUUCAUUCGCACUCAAGAAC
Arachis stenosperma is the source of this 1835-nucleotide long non-coding RNA. RefSeq lists it as uncharacterized. NCBI's taxonomy places the organism in Eukaryota, Viridiplantae, Streptophyta, Magnoliopsida, Fabales, Fabaceae. The transcript is spliced from 3 exons. The record is from RefSeq and is a predicted model, not a curated record.